RNAcentral lists this ribosomal RNA (253 nucleotides) under uncultured bacterium. Its description in RNAcentral is "partial 16S ribosomal RNA". It matches the Rfam family "Bacterial small subunit ribosomal RNA", at positions 524 to 776 of the family's 1533-position model. The record is from RNAcentral.
UACGUAGGGGGCGAGCGUUGUCCGGAGUUACUGGGCGUAAAGGGCAUGCAGGCGGUCCGACACGUUUUGUGUGACAGCGGGUGGCUUAACUACCCGAGGAUACGAAAGACGGUAGGACUUGAGGACUCGAGAGGGACACGGAAUUCCGGGUGGAGUGGUGAAAUGCGUAGAGAUCCGGAGGAACACCGAAGGCGAAGGCAGUGUCCUGGCGAGUGACUGACGCUGAGGUGCGAAAGCUAGGGGAGCAAACAGG